GACGAACGCUGGCGGCGUGCUUAACACAUGCAAGUCGAACGGAAAGGCCCUGCUUUUGUGGGGUGCUCGAGUGGCGAACGGGUGAGUAACACGGGAGUAACCUGCCCUUGACUUUGGGAUAACUUCAGGAAACUGGGGCUAAUACCGGAUAGGAGCUCCUGCUGCAUGGUGGGGGUUGGAAAGUUUCGGCGGUUGGGGAUGGACUCGCGGCUUAUCAGCUUGUUGGUGGGGUAGUGGCUUACCAAGGCUUUGACGGGUAGCCGGCCUGAGAGGGUGACCGGCGACCUUGGGACUGCGAUACGGACCAGACUCCUACGGGAGGCAGCAGUGGGAAAUAUUGCACAAUGGGCGCAAGCCUGAUGAAGAAACGCUGCGUGUGGGAUGACGGCCUUCGGGUUGUAAACCGCUUUAGCCUGUGACGAAGCGUGAGUGACGGUAAUGGGUAAAGAAGCACCGGCUAACUACGUG
RNAcentral lists this ribosomal RNA (468 nucleotides) under uncultured bacterium. RNAcentral's name for it is "partial 16S ribosomal RNA". It matches the Rfam family "Bacterial small subunit ribosomal RNA", at positions 28 to 507 of the family's 1533-position model. The record is from RNAcentral.